GAUCCUGGCUCAGGAUGAACGCUAGCUACAGGCUUAACACAUGCAAGUCGAGGGGAAACGACAUCGAAAGCUUGCUUUUGAUGGGCGUCGACCGGCGCACGGGUGAGUAACGCGUAUCCAACCUGCCCACCACCUGGGAAUAACCUUGCGAAAGUAAGACUAAUGCCCAAUGAUAUCCCACGAAGGCAUCCGAAUGGGAUUAAAGAUUUAUCGGUGAUGGAUGGGGAUGCGUCUGAUUAG
RNAcentral lists this ribosomal RNA (240 nucleotides) under uncultured bacterium. Its description in RNAcentral is "partial 16S ribosomal RNA". It matches the Rfam family "Bacterial small subunit ribosomal RNA", at positions 15 to 244 of the family's 1533-position model. The record is from RNAcentral.